GUUCAAUUCCCACUGAUUGCAAUGAAGCAUGUGCAUUUUUUACAAUGUGGACAGGCUUCUUCCUUGUUACGUUCCAGUGCUCAAUACUUCCAUCAUCAGAACCAGAUAGAAACUCAUCAUUAUUGAUGAAACAACAGCAUUCAAGGGAAGUUGCUGGAGCACGAAAUAUCAAUUGAGAUUCCUCUGGAACCUUCCAUAAGUGCAUGGUUCGGUCUCGUCCAACUGUCAAGACCCUUUCUUUCCUCAAAGAAUCAAUGGUUAGAACUUCACUUUGAUGACCAAAUAAAGUAUUUACAUAAGC
RNAcentral lists this unclassified non-coding RNA (301 nucleotides) under Hevea brasiliensis (rubber tree). Lineage: Eukaryota; Viridiplantae; Streptophyta; Magnoliopsida; Malpighiales; Euphorbiaceae. The record is from RNAcentral.